UCCAUUUUUUUUCCAUGGGAAGUUUCGUGUGUAAGGAGUGUUGCAUUUAUGAAUCUAAGCUACUUGUGAAACGGAAAAUAUCUGGAGAAGGGCAGAAGGAAAAACCUACUUUCCUUUUGAAUCAAACAGUAGGGAAAAUACGAAAAACAGAUUUUAUUCAAACAGCUGUUUAAUCUUCCAGAAUAAAGGAAAAUAACCGUCUAGUGGAGCAAUUUUUUGAAUGGGCUAGGUGAUUUAUAGCCCUUCUAUUCUUUUACCCUUUGUUUGGAUUGAAGGAAUGGAAGAGAGAAGAGAGAAGAAGAAAUUUGAUUUCCAUAAAUUCUCUUAUUUGGAUACCAAAUAGAGGAGAUUAAAGAAGAGAAAAGAGGAAAAAUUACAUUUCCCAAUUCCUUGUAUUUAACCCAAAAUACUUCUCCCAAAGUAGUGGGAAAAUGGAGAGAUAUUGGUAUUAUUUGUAUUAAAAUACUUAAAUGCCCUCUUUUCUUUAAGCAUCUAUUUCUUAGCUUGUGAGAGUAUAAUAGUCAUUUCUCACCUUUUUUUCAGAAGAAAAAUUAUAUUUCUCCUAUAUUCUAAUAAUCUAUCCAAACAAUAUUAAUUAAAUCAAAUUUCUUUUCUCUUUAUUCACAGCUAAGAAACAUGGGCGCUUUUUUUAUCCCUUUCCUGUUUACGUCAAAGACUCAUGCAGCUUGUCUGUUGCGUUACUUUUGCUGUCUUCUUUUUUUCUAAAAGCAUCUAUGUCUUAGCUUGUGAGAGUAUAAUGGUUAUUUUUGACCUUUUUUUUUUCAAAAGAAAAAUUAUAUU
Long non-coding RNA from Manihot esculenta (cassava), 801 nucleotides. RefSeq lists it as uncharacterized. The transcript is spliced from 2 exons. The record is from RefSeq and is a predicted model, not a curated record. Lineage: Eukaryota; Viridiplantae; Streptophyta; Magnoliopsida; Malpighiales; Euphorbiaceae.